AUAUUGGACAAUGGGCGAAAGCCUGAUCCAGCCACGCCGCGUGUGUGAAGAAGGUCUUCGGAGUGUAAAGCACCUUAUGUUGGCCGGAAGGGUCGUAGGUUAAUAUCCUUCAAUCUUCACGUUACCAACAGAAUAAGCUCCCGCUAACUUCGUGCCAGCAGCCGCGGUAAUACGAAGGGUGCAAGCGUUAAUCGGAAUUACUGGGAGUAAAGCGCACAUAGGUGGUUCGUUAAGUUGGAAGUGAAAGCCCCGGGCUUAAACUGGGAAUUGCUUUCAAAACUGACGAGCUAGAGUACGGUAGAGGGUAGUGGAAUUUCCUGUGUAGCGGUGAAAUGCGUAGAUAUAGGAAGGAACAUCAGUGGCGAAGGCGACUACCUGGACUGAUACUGACACUGAGAUGCGAAAGCGUGGGGAGCAAACA
Molecule: ribosomal RNA, 421 nt
Filed under: uncultured bacterium
Lineage: Bacteria
Description: partial 16S ribosomal RNA
Rfam family: Bacterial small subunit ribosomal RNA
Source: RNAcentral